UACGUAGGGUGCAAGCGUUGUCCGGAAUUAUUGGGCGUAAAGAGCUCGUAGGUGGCCUGUCGCGUCGGCUGUGAAAACUCGGGGCUCAACUCCGAGCUUGCAGUCGAUACGGGCAGACUAGAGGUAGGUAGGGGAGAAUGGAAUUCCCGGUGUAGCGGUGAAAUGCGCAGAUAUCGGGAGGAACACCGGUGGCGAAGGCGGUUCUCUGGGCCUUACCUGACGCUGAGGAGCGAAAGCGUGGGGAGCGAACAGG
This 253-nucleotide ribosomal RNA is filed under the name uncultured bacterium. RNAcentral describes it as "partial 16S ribosomal RNA". It matches the Rfam family "Bacterial small subunit ribosomal RNA", at positions 524 to 776 of the family's 1533-position model. The record is from RNAcentral.